This 23-nucleotide microRNA is filed under the name Oreochromis niloticus (Nile tilapia). RNAcentral describes it as "oni-miR-10707". The record is from miRBase by way of RNAcentral. Lineage: Eukaryota; Metazoa; Chordata; Actinopteri; Cichliformes; Cichlidae.
UCUGACACAUUUCAAGCACCAUU